UCCUCUCCUUUUCACCUCCCAUCAAUAUUGGUUCCCAGAACUCCUAAGUGUUGGUACUGGCAGUACAAUAACUAAGCUUUCACAAAUGGCACCACUAUAUGUAUUAUCAGUUACUACUAUUAAUCUAACUCCAUUCUUUUGUUAGUAUGACAAUAUGAACAAAAUAUCUUACAGAGAAACGAUUCUAAUUCAUUCUAUAAGCUCCACCAUGAUGAAAUUAUAAACUAGAAUCACAAUAAUUUCAGAAACAAACGAUCACAAUAAUUUCAGAAACAAACGAUCCGCAUCAUGGCAUUGAAGAAUAAUAAUAUUGUUUCUUUCCCUAGUAAUAGAGUUAGAGCAUAGGACUAUAGCAUAGGACUAUCUUUCUACAGGAACACAAUAAAUCAAUAGCAGUUGGGUCUUUAAGUUUCAACAUUAUAUAUGUUCAAAUUAGUAAGUGGUAAUGACAAUCAGCUUAAGCAAACAAAAAAAAAAAAAAGAUACAAGCAACAAAGUUAGAAACCUUAC
RNAcentral lists this long non-coding RNA (510 nucleotides) under Gossypium barbadense (sea-island cotton). Its description in RNAcentral is "long non-coding RNA (GBAR_LNC006833)". Lineage: Eukaryota; Viridiplantae; Streptophyta; Magnoliopsida; Malvales; Malvaceae. The record is from RNAcentral.